Molecule: ribosomal RNA, 1175 nt
Filed under: Dioscorea cayenensis subsp. rotundata (Guinea yam)
Lineage: Eukaryota; Viridiplantae; Streptophyta; Magnoliopsida; Dioscoreales; Dioscoreaceae
Description: SSU rRNA
Rfam family: Eukaryotic small subunit ribosomal RNA
Source: RNAcentral
CUCGUAGUCGGACCUUGGGCCGGGCCGGUCGGUCCACCUCCUGGUGUGCACCGGCCGUCCCGUCCCCUCUGCCGGUGAUGCACUCAUGGCCUUAACUGGCCGGGUCGUGCCUCUGGCGCCAUUACUUUGAAGAAAUUAGAGUGCUCAAAGCAAGCCCACGCUCUGGAUACAUUAGCAUGGGAUAACAUCAUAGGAUUCCGGUCUUAUUGUGUUGGCCUUCGGGAUCGGAGUAAUGAUUAAGAGGGACAGUCGGGGGCAUUCGUAUUUCAUAGUCAGAGGUGAAAUUCUUGGAUUUAUGAAAGACGAACCACUGCGAAAGCAUUUGCCAAGGAUGUUUUCAUUGAUUAAGAACGAAAGUUGGGGGAUUGAAGAUGAUCAGACACUGUCCUAGUCUCAACCAUAAACGAUGCCGACCAGGGAUCGGUGGAUGUUGCUUUUAGGACUCUGCCGGCACCUUAUGAGAAAUCAAAGUCUUUGGGUUCCGGGGGAAGUACGGUCGCAAGGCUGAAACUUAAAGGAAUUGACUGAAGGGCACCACCAGGAGUGGAGCCAGCGGCUUAAUUUGACUCAACAUGGGGAAACUUACCAGGUCCAGACAUAGCAAGGAUUGACAGACUGAGAGCUCUUUCUUGAUUCUAUGGGUGGUGGUGCAUGGCCGUUCUGAGUUGGUGGAGCGAUUUGUCUGGUUAAUUCUGACAACGAACGAGACCUCAGCCUGCUAACUAGCUAUGCGGAGGAAUCCCUCCGCGGCCAGCUUCUUAGAGGGACUGUGGCCAUUUAGGCCACGGAAGUUUGAGGCAAUAACAGGUCUGUGAUGCCCUUAGAUGUUCUGGGCCGCAUGCGCGCUACACUGAUGUAUUCAACGAGUCUAUAGCCUUGCCCGACAGGCCCGGGUAAUCUUGUAAAAUUUCAUCGUGAUGGGGAUAGAUCAUUGCAAUUGUUGGUCUUCAACGAAGAAUUCCUAGUAAGCGCGAGUCAUCAUCUCACGUUGACUACGUCCCUGCCCUUUGUACACACCGCCCGUCAUUCCUACCGAUUGAAUGGUCCGGUGAAGUGUUCGGAUCGCGGCGACGGGGCGGUCUCGCCGCCCGCGACGUCGCGAGAAGUCCACUGAACCUUAUCAUUUAGAGGAAGGAGAAGUCGUAACAAGGUUUCCGUAGGUAAACCUGCGGAAG